UACGAAGGGGGCGAGCGUUGUUCUGAAUUACUGGGCGUAAAGGGCGCGUAGGCGGCGACCCAAGUCAGAUGUGAAAGUCCUGGGCUUAACCUGGGGACUGCAUUUGAUACUGGGUUGCUUGAAUUCGGGAGAGGAUAGCGGAAUUCCCAGUGUAGAGGUGAAAUUCGUAGAUAUUGGGAAGAACACCGGUGGCGAAGGCGGCUAUCUGGACCGACAUUGACGCUGAGGCGCGAAAGCGUGGGGAGCAAACAGG
Molecule: ribosomal RNA, 253 nt
Filed under: uncultured bacterium
Lineage: Bacteria
Description: partial 16S ribosomal RNA
Rfam family: Bacterial small subunit ribosomal RNA
Source: RNAcentral